UGACCAAAGGGAGGGCUGCUUACAGG
This 26-nucleotide non-coding RNA is filed under the name Rattus norvegicus (Norway rat). Lineage: Eukaryota; Metazoa; Chordata; Mammalia; Rodentia; Muridae. The record is from RNAcentral.